GAGCGGUAGAGAGRAGCUUGCUUCUCUUGAGAGCGGCGGACGGGUGAGUAAUGCCUAGGAAUCUGCCUGGUAGUGGGGGAUAACGUUCGGAAACGGACGCUAAUACCGCAUACGUCCUACGGGAGAAAGCAGGRGACCUUCGGGCCUUGCGCUAUCMGAUGAGCCUAGGUCGGAUUAGCUAGUUGGYGAGGUAAUGGCUCACCAAGGCGACGAUCCGUAWCUGGKCUGAGAGGAUGAUCAGUCMCACUGGAACUGASCCAGGKUCMACACUUCUACGGGAGGCAGCAGUGGGGAAUAUUGGACAAUGGGCGAAAGCCUGAUCCAGCCAUGCCGCGUGUGUGAAGAAGGUCUUCGGAUUGUAAAGCACUUUAAGUUGGGAGGAAGGGUACUUACCUAAUACGUGAGUAUUUUGACGUUACCGACAGAAUAAGCACCGGCUAACUCUGUGCCAGCAGCCGCGGUAAUACAGAGGGUGCAAGCGUUAAUCGGAAUUACUGGGCGUAAAGCGCGCGUAGGUGGUUCGUUAAGUUGAAUGUGAAAUCCCCGGGCUCAACCUGGGAACUGCAUCCAAMACUGGCGAGCUAGAGUAUGGUAGAGGGUGGUGGAAUUUCCUGUGUAGCGGUGAAAUGCGUAGAUAUAGGAAGGAACACCAGUGGCGAAGGCGACCACCUGGACUGAUACUGACACUGAGGUGCGAAAGCGUGGGAGCAACAGGAUUAGAUACCCUGGUAGUCCACGCCGUAAACGAUGUCAACUAGCCGUGGGAGCUGAGCUCUAGUGGCGCAGCUAACGCAUAGUGACGCUGGGGGAGUACGGCGCAAGUAACUCAAUGAUGACGGGGCCGCAGCGUGGACAUGUGUAUCGARCACSCGAAGAACCUUAC
RNAcentral lists this ribosomal RNA (883 nucleotides) under Pseudomonas chlororaphis. RNAcentral describes it as "bacterial SSU rRNA". It matches the Rfam family "Bacterial small subunit ribosomal RNA", at positions 64 to 974 of the family's 1533-position model. The record is from RNAcentral. Lineage: Bacteria; Pseudomonadati; Pseudomonadota; Gammaproteobacteria; Pseudomonadales; Pseudomonadaceae.